GAUGAACGCUGGCGGCGUGCCUAAUACAUGCAAGUCGAGCGAACAGACGAGGAGCUUGCUCCUCUGACGUUAGCGGCGGACGGGUGAGUAACACGUGGAUAACCUACCUAUAAGACUGGGAUAACUUCGGGAAACCGGAGCUAAUACCGGAUAAUAUUUUGAACCGCAUGGUUCAAUAGUGAAAGACGGUUUUGCUGUCACUUAUAGAUGGAUCCGCGCCGCAUUAGCUAGUUGGUAAGGUAACGGCUUACCAAGGCAACGAUGCGUAGCCGACCUGAGAGGGUGAUCGGCCACACUGGAACUGAGACACGGUCCAGACUCCUACGGGAGGCAGCAGUAGGGAAUCUUCCGCAAUGGGCGAAAGCCUGACGGAGCAACGCCGCGUGAGUGAUGAAGGUCUUCGGAUCGUAAAACUCUGUUAUUAGGGAAGAACAAAUGUGUAAGUAACUAUGCACGUCUUGACGGUACCUAAUCAGAAAGCAACGGCUAACUACGUG
This 497-nucleotide ribosomal RNA is filed under the name uncultured bacterium. RNAcentral's name for it is "partial 16S ribosomal RNA". It matches the Rfam family "Bacterial small subunit ribosomal RNA", at positions 28 to 507 of the family's 1533-position model. The record is from RNAcentral.